Molecule: ribosomal RNA, 404 nt
Filed under: uncultured prokaryote
Description: bacterial SSU rRNA
Rfam family: Bacterial small subunit ribosomal RNA
Source: RNAcentral
UGGGGGAUAUUGCACAAUGGAGGAAACUCUGAUGCAGCGACGCCGCGUGAGGGAAGAAGGUUUUCGGAUUGUAAACCUCUGUCUUCGGGGACGAAACAAAUGACGGUACUCGAGGAGGAAGCCACGGCUAACUACGUGCCAGCAGCCGCGGUAAUACGUAGGUGGCAAGCGUUGUCCGGAAUUACUGGGUGUAAAGGGAGCGCAGGCGGAACUGCAAGUUGGGUGUUUAAUCUACGGGCUCAACCCGUAUCAGCAUUCAAAACGGUGGUUCUUGAGUAAUGCAGAGGUAGGCGGAAUUCCCGGUGUAGCGGUGGAAUGCGUAGAUAUCGGGAGGAACACCAGUGGCGAAGGCGGCCUACUGGGCAUCAACUGACGCUGAGGCUCGAAAGCAUGGGUAGCAAACA